ACACACACACACACACACAGAAUUUCAAUGAGUUUAUAUAAUUCCUGUGUUAUUAUAAAGUUUAUUAAUUACCGAAAUGAGAUGAUUUGUGUUAGUUCCAGACGGGAAUGGCUGUAAAACUAAAACAUUACGUAACACAACUUACUCCAUCAACAGGAGUUUGCUGCAUACUGCAACGAUCAGCUGAUAAGGAGUAUCGACAUAACCAUGGAGGAAGUGAACAUGUGAACGAGACAACAUCGCGGAUAUUCAUGAUUAUCAAGAGUGAAUUUCUGCUGUACAGCAACCAAAAGAUGAAGCAGCAUCCAGCAUGCAGCACCUUCAAGUCAGAAGUGGCCAAAAUGCAAGACAAAUACACUGAAUUAUGGAGGCGAUCACCAAUGACAUGUCCUACAUUAAGAAAGAUACUUACUAAUAAAUGAAGUGUAAUGUUAUUCUGAGGGAAGAAAUAAAAGUGUUACACCUCGUCAGCAA
Long non-coding RNA from Haliotis rufescens (red abalone), 474 nucleotides. RefSeq lists it as uncharacterized. The transcript is spliced from 2 exons. Lineage: Eukaryota; Metazoa; Mollusca; Gastropoda; Lepetellida; Haliotidae. The record is from RefSeq and is a predicted model, not a curated record.